RNAcentral lists this ribosomal RNA (404 nucleotides) under uncultured bacterium. Its description in RNAcentral is "bacterial SSU rRNA". It matches the Rfam family "Bacterial small subunit ribosomal RNA", at positions 355 to 775 of the family's 1533-position model. The record is from RNAcentral.
UGAGGAAUAUUGCACAAUGGGCGCAAGCCUGAUGCAGCAACGCCGCGUGCGGGACGAAGGCCUUCGGGUCGUAAACCGCUUUUCUGGGGAAAGAGCAAGGACGGUACCUCAGGAAUAAGUCUCGGCUAACUACGUGCCAGCAGCCGCGGUAAAACGUAGGAGGCGAGCGUUAUCCGGAUUUACUGGGCGUAAAGCGCACGCAGGCGGCUCUGUGAGUCGGACGUGAAAGCUCCCGGCUUAACCGGGAGAGGCCGUUCGAUACUGCGGAGCUUGAGGUAGGGAGAGGAAUGCGGAAUUCCCGGUGUAGUGGUAGAAUGCGUAGAUAUCGGGAGGAACACCUGUGGCGAAGGCGGCAUCCUGGCCCUCACCUGACGCUGAGGUGCGAAAGCGUGGGUAGCAAACAG